Non-coding RNA from Oncorhynchus mykiss (rainbow trout), 580 nucleotides. The record is from RefSeq and is a predicted model, not a curated record. NCBI's taxonomy places the organism in Eukaryota, Metazoa, Chordata, Actinopteri, Salmoniformes, Salmonidae.
ACUCAGGAGAAUAGACGUUUUUUAAACCAUUACAACACUGUGCUUUAGGGCGGGGCAGUAUACUGUCAGUAUACUGUCGGUAUACUGCUCUUUGUUGCAGGUGCAUGGUAAUAGUUGAAUAAAAUAAGAAACCCGCACACCGCUCUUUGUUGCAGGUGCAUGGUAAUAGUUGAAUAAAAUAAGAAACCCGCACACCGCUCUUGAUAGUGUCACCGCUCUUUAAUAAGCUUAAGUAUCGGACACACUGCCUUAGCACCAUUGUGUAGACAUAGCUCCACCCACAUCCGUUCCGCGCAUGGAAUGGGGUUGGAGUCAAGAGAACCAAUAAGUGCUACCAAAUAUAACAAUGUGCAUUUCAUAAAUAUUUGAAAUAGUGUGUACAUUUAAACGUAUUAAACACAAUGAGGACAUCGAGCUUCCAAGCAAGUUUUCAUAAAUCAUCAGGUACAGCGCAAGAAAAACGUCUGAGUAAACUGAAAGGGGGGCAUAAUUCAUGUUCACAUUUUACAACAUAACAUACAUAGGCAUUUCAUCAUUAAGACCUCUAGGAAAUAAUGUCUGGAGGGUGAAAAUCCGAAAA